This 318-nucleotide long non-coding RNA is filed under the name Nicotiana benthamiana. RNAcentral's name for it is "long non-coding RNA (NBEN_LNC010555)". Lineage: Eukaryota; Viridiplantae; Streptophyta; Magnoliopsida; Solanales; Solanaceae. The record is from RNAcentral.
CUCAAGCUCAGGCUGGUAAAGGAAGAAAAUAUAUGAUUUCUUGAUUGCUGAAAUCUCAAAAAUAUAUGAUUUCUGAAUUGCUUAUUGUUGUUUGUUAUUAUGGGAUUUUAAGUUUAAUUGUAGAACUGCAGGACAUCAACUGGACUAUGAGUCAUAAAAUUGCCUCUACCUGUUUAUCAAAAGGAACUCAUACUGUUGGGAUUGCUUCCCAUGUACAGUAGGUAUUUAAUGACUCUAUUAUGAGCAAGCGGUUUUUCAAGAGUCCUCAUCGGCGGAGAACGCCAGAGCAGAUAAUGCUAAGGUCAUUGCUAUUCAUGU